ACAGAAGUGAAAUGUCUCACUCUGUAGCCAAAACAGAGAGCUCAACACACAGUGGAAAAAGAGGAGCUGCAGGAAUGUGUGGUACCAAAAUAUGGUGUUUUUUUUCAAAUAAACCAUGUAAACCUGUUCUGAUAUAACAUCUAAAUACAAUUGCGAACCUGAAAAUGGGCAUAAUAUGAGCAGUUUAAUAUUUUGGGAGCAUU
Etheostoma cragini (Arkansas darter) is the source of this 203-nucleotide long non-coding RNA. RefSeq lists it as uncharacterized. NCBI's taxonomy places the organism in Eukaryota, Metazoa, Chordata, Actinopteri, Perciformes, Percidae. The transcript is spliced from 3 exons. The record is from RefSeq and is a predicted model, not a curated record.